Molecule: long non-coding RNA, 289 nt
Filed under: Coffea arabica (coffee)
Lineage: Eukaryota; Viridiplantae; Streptophyta; Magnoliopsida; Gentianales; Rubiaceae
Description: long non-coding RNA (CARA_LNC000159)
Source: RNAcentral
UUCCUCAAACCAGAUUGAAAUUUUAGAGCUUUUCCAGAAGACGACCUAAUUUUACUACUACUAGCAGAGUAAAAAGCUAAUUGGGGUAUAGGGUUUGCGACUGCAGAGAGAAAUGAAGCAAGAGUAGUACAACUAGCAGGAGCAGUAGUUCCUAAUGAAGCCGCUGCUUCCUGAGACUGAGCAAUGGUAAUAAUUAUGGCGGAAGAAGCUCUUCUCUGCAUCGUCCUCAUCGUCUCCUGGUCUGAGAUGAAUUCUUGAUCUCUGUUGUUCUAGUAACUCAUUUCCUGCU